RNAcentral lists this ribosomal RNA (347 nucleotides) under uncultured bacterium. RNAcentral describes it as "bacterial SSU rRNA". It matches the Rfam family "Bacterial small subunit ribosomal RNA", at positions 18 to 344 of the family's 1533-position model. The record is from RNAcentral.
CAUGGCUCAGGACGAACGCUGGCGGCGUGCUUAACACAUGCAAGUCGAACGGAGCGAAUGAAAGCUUGCUUUUAUGAGCUUAGUGGCAAACGGGUGAGUAACACGUAGACAACCUGCCGACAGGAUGGGGACAACAUUCCGAAAGGAAUGCUAAUACCGAAUGAAGCGGAGGAGAGGCAUCUCUCCUCCGUGAAAGAUGGCCUCUAUUUAUAAGCUAUCACCUGUCGAUGGGUCUGCGUCUGAUUAGCUAGUUGGUGAGGUAACGGCUCACCAAGGCGACGAUCAGUAGCCGGUCUGAGAGGAUGAACGGCCACAUUGGGACUGAGACACGGCCCAGACUCCUACGG